UACGGAGGGGGCUAGCGUUGUUCGGAAUUACUGGGCGUAAAGCGCGCGUAGGCGGCUUUGUAAGUUAGAGGUGAAAGCCCGGAGCUCAACUCCGGAAUUGCCUUUAAGACUGCAUCGCUAGAAUCAUGGAGAGGUGAGUGGAAUUCCGAGUGUAGAGGUGAAAUUCGUAGAUAUUCGGAAGAACACCAGUGGCGAAGGCGGCUUACUGGACGAUUGUUGACGCUGAGGUGCGAAAGCGUGGGGAGCAAACAGG
RNAcentral lists this ribosomal RNA (253 nucleotides) under uncultured bacterium. Its description in RNAcentral is "partial 16S ribosomal RNA". It matches the Rfam family "Bacterial small subunit ribosomal RNA", at positions 524 to 776 of the family's 1533-position model. The record is from RNAcentral.